This 297-nucleotide ribosomal RNA is filed under the name Limosilactobacillus fermentum. RNAcentral's name for it is "Lactobacillus fermentum partial 16S ribosomal RNA". It matches the Rfam family "Bacterial small subunit ribosomal RNA", at positions 392 to 683 of the family's 1533-position model. The record is from RNAcentral. Lineage: Bacteria; Bacillati; Bacillota; Bacilli; Lactobacillales; Lactobacillaceae.
GCACACCGCGUGAGUGAGAGGGUUUCGGCUCGUAAAGCUCUGUUGUUAAAGAAGAACACGUAAGAAAGUAACUGUUCAUACGUUGACGGUAUUUAACCAGAAAGUCACGGCUAACUACGUGCCAGCAGCCGCGGUAAUACGUAGGUGGCAAGCGUUAUCCGGAUUUAUUGGGCGUAAAGAGAGUGCAGGCGGUUUUCUAAGUCUGAUGUGAAAGCCUUCGGCUUAACCGGAGAAGUGCAUCGGAAACUGGAUAACUUGAGUGCAGAAGAGGGUAGUGGAACUCCAUGUGUAGCGGUG